AUCAGCUUGUUUUAUAGAAAUCAAAGUAAAUAAUGUAUUUAUUCAAUGCUUAACUCUUAGCCAUUUUCUCUUCCCCAUUUGCUAAGAUGGUCUUUUAACUAUUAACUAAGUCCAACCAGUUAUUCUCAAUUCAUAUAAUAUUAUUGGAUUAAACCUUUUCAUCUGAAUUAUAUUAAGUUCAUAUUUAACAUUUUAAAAAGCGAUGAAGAUAAAUCUGGUAAUCCGCAUGGAUCCUUGGAAAUUGCCAUUGGCGAUAGUAAACCAAAGGAAUCAAAUGUCGACUAGAUAAAGGCAAGUCUGAGCUUUUCUAUUAGUUUUGAAUCGUUUAAAAUAAUAUU
Schizosaccharomyces pombe (fission yeast) is the source of this 338-nucleotide non-coding RNA. The record is from the annotation of a GenBank genome assembly. Lineage: Eukaryota; Fungi; Ascomycota; Schizosaccharomycetes; Schizosaccharomycetales; Schizosaccharomycetaceae.